This 387-nucleotide ribosomal RNA is filed under the name uncultured bacterium. Its description in RNAcentral is "bacterial SSU rRNA". It matches the Rfam family "Bacterial small subunit ribosomal RNA", at positions 28 to 417 of the family's 1533-position model. The record is from RNAcentral.
GACGAACGCUGGCGGCGUGCUUAACACAUGCAAGUCGAGCGGUAAGGCCCUUCGGGGUACGACGAGCGGCGAACGGGUGAGUAACACGUGGGUGACCUGCCUCUAGCUCUGGGAUAAGCCUGGGAAACUGGGUCUAAUACCGGAUAUGACUCCACGGCGCAUGUUGUGGGGUGGAAAGCCUUGUGUGGCUAGAGAUGGGCCCGCGGCCUAUCAGCUUGUUGGUGGGGUGAUGGCCUACCAAGGCGACGACGGGUAGCCGGCCUGAGAGGGCGACCGGCCACACUGGGACUGAGACACGGCCCAGACUCCUACGGGAGGCAGCAGUGGGGAAUCUUGCGCAAUGGGCGAAAGCCUGACGCAGCGACGCCGCGUGAGGGAUGACGGCCU